UUGUUGCAGUUAAAAAGCUCGUAGUUGGAUUUCUGGUCGGAGCGAUCGGUCCGCCUCAUUCGGGGUGUGUACUUGUGUCGUCUCCAGCCAUCCUUGAGGAGAACUGUUCUGGCAUUGAGUUGUUGGGGCAGGGAACCUCAUCUUUUACUGUGAAAAAAUUAGAGUGUUUAAAGCAGGCUUACGCCGUUGAAUACAUUAGCAUGGAAUAAUAAGAUAGGACUUUGGCGGUCUAUUUUGUUGGUUUGCACGCCGAGGUAAUGAUUAAUAGGGAUAGUUGGGGGUAUUCGUAUUUAAUUGUCAGAGGUGAAAUUCUUGGAUUUCUGAAAGACGAACUACUGCGAAAGCAUUUACCAAGGAUGUUUUCAUUAAUCAAGAACGAAAGUUAGGGGAUCGAAGAUGAUUAGAUACCAUCGUAGUCUUAACCAUAAACUAUGCCGACUCGGGAUUGGCGGGCGUUCUCUUUAUGACUCCGUCAGCACCGUAUGAGAAAUCAAAGUCUUUGGGUUCCGGGGGGAGUAUGGUCGCAAGGCUGAAACUUAAAGGAAUUGACGGAAGGGCACCACCAGGAGUGGAGCCUGCGGCUUAAUUUGACUCAACACGGGGAAACUUACCAGGUCCAGACAUAGUGAGGA
This 632-nucleotide ribosomal RNA is filed under the name uncultured eukaryote. Its description in RNAcentral is "SSU rRNA". It matches the Rfam family "Eukaryotic small subunit ribosomal RNA", at positions 610 to 1239 of the family's 1831-position model. The record is from RNAcentral.